Long non-coding RNA from Neofelis nebulosa (Clouded leopard), 581 nucleotides. RefSeq lists it as uncharacterized. The transcript is spliced from 4 exons. Lineage: Eukaryota; Metazoa; Chordata; Mammalia; Carnivora; Felidae. The record is from RefSeq and is a predicted model, not a curated record.
CUCUGGGCAGGUCAGCCUCACACUCCCGGCCCCCGACUCGCUGGCCUCCUGGGUCCGCCAGUCCGGGAAGGAGCCUGUCGGAUCAGGGGACCCAUCUCACACCCCGGCCUGAGGGACCCCACCCCAGACUCCGGACUCCUGGGACUGCCAGCCCAGGAAGGAGCGUGUCAGACCCAUCAGAAAAUAGAAGUCACAAAGGAAACCAAACCCCAAAAUUUGGAAAGACCGGCAAAUACUGAAAAUCAUGGCGGGAAGCCAGCUGCCAUGUUGUGAGCUGUCCAUGUGGAAAGAAUUGAUAUGUCCAGACAAAAGCCAGCAAGGACCCCAACCCAGCCAACAGUUUAAGUGAGUGCGUCUGCAAGAUGAUUAUCCUCCCAUGAAGCCUUCAGGUGAAUGUCGCACUGGCUAACAACCUGCCUGCAGCCUUGUGGGAAUUGAGGCACCCAGCUAAGCCACACCUGGACUCCUUACCCAAAGACUCUUUUGUUCCAAGCGGACCACUCAUCCAUGUUCUCUACACUAAGACUGUUCUCGGAUAGUAAAGCUGAAUUUCCUCACCAAUAAAGUCGCAUCACCUCACA